This 212-nucleotide ribosomal RNA is filed under the name uncultured bacterium. Its description in RNAcentral is "partial 16S ribosomal RNA". It matches the Rfam family "Bacterial small subunit ribosomal RNA", at positions 524 to 734 of the family's 1533-position model. The record is from RNAcentral.
UACGGAGGGUGCGAGCGUUGUCCGGAAUCACUGGGCGUAAAGGGCGCGUAGGUGGCGCAGGAAGUCAACGGUGAAAGUUCGGGGCUCAACCCUGAAUCGGCCGUCGAUACUCCUGGGCUCGAGCACUGUAGAGGCAGAUGGAAUUCCGGGUGUAGCGGUGGAAUGCGUAGAGAUCCGGAAGAACACCGGUGGCGAAGGCGGUCGUGCUGGGC